ACUUUCAACAACGGAUCUCUUGGCUCUCGCAUCGAUGAAGAACGCAGCGAAAUGCGAUAAGUAAUGUGAAUUGCAGAAUUCAGUGAAUCAUCAAAUCUUUGAACGCACCUUGCGCUCCUUGGUAUUCCGAGGAGCAUGCCUGUUUGAGUGUCA
RNAcentral lists this ribosomal RNA (153 nucleotides) under Hypsizygus marmoreus. Its description in RNAcentral is "5.8S ribosomal RNA". It matches the Rfam family "5.8S ribosomal RNA". From Rfam's summary of the family: 5.8S ribosomal RNA (5.8S rRNA) is a component of the large subunit of the eukaryotic ribosome. Lineage: Eukaryota; Fungi; Basidiomycota; Agaricomycetes; Agaricales; Lyophyllaceae. The record is from RNAcentral.